RNAcentral lists this ribosomal RNA (205 nucleotides) under uncultured bacterium. Its description in RNAcentral is "partial 16S ribosomal RNA". It matches the Rfam family "Bacterial small subunit ribosomal RNA", at positions 524 to 729 of the family's 1533-position model. The record is from RNAcentral.
UACAGAGGGUGCAAGCGUUGUUCGGAAUUAUUGGGCGUAAAGCGCGUGUAGGCGGCUCGGAAAGUCGGAUGUGAAGCCCUGGGCUUAACCUAGGAAGUGCAUUCGAAACUCCCGAGCUUGAGUUCUGGAGAGGAAGGCGGAAUCUCGGUGUAGAGGUGAAAUUCGUAGAUAUCGAGAGGAACGACCGGUGGCGAAGGCGGCCUUC